UACGUAGGUGGCAAGCGUUGUCCGGAUUUACUGGGCGUAAAGAGCGCGCAGGCGGUCGUUCAAGUCGCGUGUGAAAGCCCCCAGCUCAACUGGGGAGGGUCACGCGAUACUGAUCGACUCGAAGGCAGGAGAGGGUAGUGGAAUUCCCGGUGUAGUGGUGAAAUGCGUAGAGAUCGGGAGGAACACCCGUGGCGAAGGCGGCCAUCUGGACCAGCACUGACGCUGAGGCACGAAAGCGUGGGGAGCAAACAGG
RNAcentral lists this ribosomal RNA (253 nucleotides) under uncultured bacterium. Its description in RNAcentral is "partial 16S ribosomal RNA". It matches the Rfam family "Bacterial small subunit ribosomal RNA", at positions 524 to 776 of the family's 1533-position model. The record is from RNAcentral.